Long non-coding RNA from Trifolium pratense (red clover), 523 nucleotides. RefSeq lists it as uncharacterized. The transcript is spliced from 2 exons. Lineage: Eukaryota; Viridiplantae; Streptophyta; Magnoliopsida; Fabales; Fabaceae. The record is from RefSeq and is a predicted model, not a curated record.
CAUAGAUUGAAGCAACUGUCAUGCCUGAGGAUUAUCGGAAUAGAAAGGUCUGGAUACUUUGUAAUGACUGCAACGAUACAACCGAAGUUCACUUCCACAUUAUUGGGCAUAAAUGCGGUCACUGCAAUUCAUAUAACACUCGUGCUAUUGCUCCUCCCGUUCUUCCGCAAUAACCAACAAAUUCACGCCGUUCAAGAAACACGUCUAUCCCUGUGAUCCAAUUAUUGUAGAGCAUCAUUUAAUUCAUCAACAAGAUUAGUGGUAUAUUGUGUAUGCCCUUAAACUUUUCAUAGCUUAUUCUUCCUCCAACAUAUGGAGUGGAUUUGUGGAGUUGGUAUUCGGGUCAUCGAGACUUUUAUAAAAAUUUGUAUACUAAAACUAUCAUAGGGGAAAAAGUUUACUCUUCAUGUGCUUCUGGUAAUUGUGUUUUUGUCUUGUUAUUGUUGUAUUGAUAUUGGAGGAUGGAUUAGCUUUUCUUUGCCGUUGAAUUUAAUCUACACAACUCAGUGAUUCUUUCCUUUUA